GGGACUGCCAGAGAAUUCACCGACAGCAGCGAGCGGCCUGGAUGGAUGCUGACUUGACCUCUGCGGCCCUUGCUGGGGUCACUGCUUGGUAUCUGACAGAAAUCUGUAAUCUCUCCUCUCUGGAAGGCCUCGGCAAAGAGCUUCCAUUUCAGAGGAAGCUUGUUCCUGGGCAGCCGUCUCCAGAGAAAACGCCGUGUGAGGGAGCAGACAGUAAACAUCCUCAUCUCCCACAGGACCUGAGUGCGGGACUCUGGAGUGAGCUGGCUUGGGGACACUUACUCAGCUGGCCAUUCUUCUUUCAACACCUGAAGGUCUGAAAUCUUCAGUCCACUCAAGUUCUUCUCGUGGAAGGGACAAAGAAAGCAGAGACUACCUAGUAAAAGGGCAUGAAACAUUUCACGGAAAUGGGUUGUCUUUGGAACCAAACAGGUGAAGAUAGACAUAAGAAAAAGAAUGUGAUUCAUUUUCUACAUUGCACAGUCAUAAUGUUCAAUGAAUGAGGAGAUGGAAAAACUUGGGGUAGAAAAAUGAAAGUAUUACAGGCUGGAGACAAAAAAUGAGGGGGUUUAGGAUGAGAAAAGACAUACUCCAAAGAAAGGCGAAGAGGAUCGAACAAGUUCUAGUGAGAAAAUUAUUUUCUGUGCUUCCUGGCUUCCUGCUGAACACAUCAACCUCAAAUACAAUUUUGCACUGUGACCUUGGGCCCUCUUUCCUGUAAGAGCUGAGCAGACAUUCUGCUGAACAGAGCAGAAAUAGAGUUCCUCGUGGGGAGGACUAACCGAGCUGAAUAAAUCAUGCCUGGAGAACCUGACCUGAUUUUUUCCUUUUAGUAUUAUUUCGUGAUCUCCUAACAGAAAGGUUUGAGAAUAUCAGGUUAUAUAUGACUUCCUGAAAACAAUUAGAGCUUUGUAAUACAGGGUCAUCUAAUAAUAAACAUAAAUUCUUGGCAAAAAACAAAUAUGAGGUUUAUUGAUAAGUUGGUUGUUACAUAGGAAUACUAGGCCAUAUUGACUUUAAUAAAACAUUAAGUGGUUUAAUUAAAUCAUUAAUUCCACCCUUAGUUCCAUAUCUCAAAAGACUGUCAAUGUAAA
Sorex araneus (European shrew) is the source of this 1091-nucleotide long non-coding RNA. RefSeq lists it as uncharacterized. The record is from RefSeq and is a predicted model, not a curated record. NCBI's taxonomy places the organism in Eukaryota, Metazoa, Chordata, Mammalia, Eulipotyphla, Soricidae. The transcript has 5 exons.